UACAGCCAUAUCACGUUAAAACAGCGGUUCUCGUACGAUCACCGAAGUUAAGCAACGUCGAGCCUGCUCAUUACCUAGAUGAGUAGCCGCUUGGGAAUACCGGGAUCUGUAA
Acanthosepion pharaonis is the source of this 112-nucleotide non-coding RNA. The record is from the annotation of a GenBank genome assembly. NCBI's taxonomy places the organism in Eukaryota, Metazoa, Mollusca, Cephalopoda, Sepiida, Sepiidae.